UACGUAGGGUGCGAGCGUUGUCCGGAAUUAUUGGGCGUAAAGAGCUCGUAGGCGGUUUGUCACGUCUGCUGUGAAAUCCCGAGGCUCAACCUCGGGCCUGCAGUGGGUACGGGCAGACUGGAGUGCGGUAGGGGAGAAUGGAAUUCCUGGUGUAGCGGUGGAAUGCGCAGAUAUCAGGAGGAACACCGAUGGCGAAGGCAGUUUUCUGGGCCGUAACUGACGCUGAGGAGCGAAAGCGUGGGGAGCGAACAGG
RNAcentral lists this ribosomal RNA (253 nucleotides) under uncultured bacterium. Its description in RNAcentral is "partial 16S ribosomal RNA". It matches the Rfam family "Bacterial small subunit ribosomal RNA", at positions 524 to 776 of the family's 1533-position model. The record is from RNAcentral.